GGAACGGGGGAGCGAGCGCCUCGGGAAGGUGCUGGGGGCCCGAGGUGUGAGCUAAUCAGUUCCCUCGCUCUGCCGCCGGCGCCGCCUGACACACCCCUCCCGGCCGGGCCUUCACCGGUCGCCAGUCCCCGGCCUCAGCCCGCGCGCCUCGCCCCGGGGCCCGGGCCCGUCUCUCUCCCGGGGCUGGCGGGUCCCGCUCGCGCCGCCGUGCCCAGCACGCACCUUCAACGCACCCCGGGCCGGGCCCUUGGGGACCGCACGGCCGGGGCCGAGGGGCAGGAAGCGCUCCUCGCUCUCCUCCUCGUCGUCGUCGCCGUCCACCACCUCGACGACCACCUCCUCGUCCUCGUCUUCCUCGUCGUCAUCCUCCUCCUCCGCGCCCCCUCGGGGCUUCUCUUCCACGCGCCCGAGCCCCCUCCGCCGCCUGCUCCCGCCUUCCUCGUCCUCGUCUUCCUCCCCCAGAAGCAGCAGCACGGGCGACGAGGCGGCGGCGGCCCCGGCGGCCCGAGGGGGGCCGGUCCCGGCGUUGCGCGGCGGCGGCAGCGNNNNNNNNNNNNNNNNNNNNNNNNNNNNNNNNNNNNNNNNNCGCGCUGCGCUCCAUGCGGCCGGUGGCCGGGCCCGCGCGCGCCUCUCCCGGCCCGCUGCGCCCGCGCGGUCCUGGCCUACAGCUGCCGUCCCUCCGCGCGAGCUGUUUGUGUUGUGUGUUUUCCACCACCGCCCCCCUCUUCGCGAGCCAUUCCUCACAGCUCUCCGGUACCCCCGUUCAGACAAAACCCGGACUGGAUUUAUUUCCCCUACCCUCAGCCUCCGCAAAUCUGGUGCUUCUCAGCAUUCGGCCCAGACGCUGGGGCAAACGCUAUCCCGCCGCGGAUGAUUCCUUGUGCAGGGUGGACGGAAGACUUUGCUGCAAGUAGGGUUGUUGGUCAAACUCAGACUUCGAAGGAAGAGAUUUGCCGCAAGUCAUUUUCACGGUCUCUGCAGUGCGUGGGACUACUCUUGACCUUACGUGAAACCCGAGAAGGCAAAGCUGACUUCCAAGACCGUUGGCCUAAACUGAAAUUUCAAGCAAAACCUGGUGCUGCAAAUACUGUUGUUUCUUGCUCCUUUCCUGAGGUUGAGAGGAGGGAAGAGAAAAAAACUGAAGAGGAACAGAAAAGCAAGGAGAAGACAGAGGAGGAUACAAGAAAGGUGAGCCACAAGAAAAUAGAAUAAUAGGGGCGCCUGGGUGGCACAGCGGUUAAGCGUCUGCCUUCAGCUCAGAGCGUGAUCCCAGCGUUAUGGGAUCGAGCCCCACAUCAGGCUCUUCUGCUGUGGGCCUGCUUCUUCCUCUCCCAUUCCCCCUGCUUGUGUUCCCUCUCUCGCUGGCUGUCUCUAUCUCUGGUCAAAUAAAUAAAUAAAAUCUUAAAAAAAAAAAAAAAAGAAAAUAGAAUAAUAGCCUUGGCUCUUUGGUGAUUUACUAUUUAUAUAUAAGAAUCCACACAUACAAGAUUUUUUGCUUUUUAGCCAAAGCAUGUCCUUUAGAAAUUUAGGGGAUCCCUCCCUUCCCCUUAUUCAAUAUUCAGUGAAGAGAAAAUACUGGCUAGUUG
Molecule: long non-coding RNA, 1586 nt
Organism: Ailuropoda melanoleuca (giant panda)
Lineage: Eukaryota; Metazoa; Chordata; Mammalia; Carnivora; Ursidae
Source: Ensembl